This 497-nucleotide ribosomal RNA is filed under the name uncultured bacterium. Its description in RNAcentral is "partial 16S ribosomal RNA". It matches the Rfam family "Bacterial small subunit ribosomal RNA", at positions 28 to 507 of the family's 1533-position model. The record is from RNAcentral.
GAUGAACGCUGGCGGCGUGCCUAAUACAUGCAAGUCGAGCGAACAGACGAGGAGCUUGCUCCUCUGACGUUAGCGGCGGACGGGUGAGUAACACGUGGAUAACCUACCUAUAAGUCUGGGAUAACUUCGGGAAACCGGAGCUAAUACCGGAUAAUAUAUUGAACCGCAUGGUUCAAUAGUGAAAGACGGUUUUGCUGUCACUUAUAGAGGGAUCCGCGCCGAAUUAGCUAGUUGGUAAGGUAACGGCUUACCAAGGCAACGAGGCGUAGCCGACCUGAGAGGGGGGUCGGCCACCCUGGAACUGGAACACGGUCCAUACUCCUACGGGAGGCAGCAGUAGGGAAUCUUCCGCAAUGGUGGAAAACAUGACGGAGCAACGCCGCGUGAGUUAUAGAAGUCUUCCGAUCGUAAAACUCUGUUAUUAGGGAAGAACAAAUGUGUAAGUAACUAUGCACGUCUUGACGGUACCUAAUCAGAAAGCCACGGCUAACUACGUG